UACGUAGGCAGCAAACGUUGUUCGGAAUUACUGGGCGUAAAGAGUGUGUAGGCGGCUUUGCAAGUUUGGUGUGAAAUCUCCCGGCUCAACUGGGAGGGUGCGCCGAAUACUGAAUGACUAGAGUGCGGGAGAGGAAAGUGGAAUUCCUGGUGUAGCGGUGAAAUGCGUAGAUAUCAGGAGGAACACCGGUGGUGUAGACGGCUUUCUGGACCGUAACUGACGCUGAGACACGAAAGCGUGGGUAGCAAACAGG
Molecule: ribosomal RNA, 253 nt
Filed under: uncultured bacterium
Lineage: Bacteria
Description: partial 16S ribosomal RNA
Rfam family: Bacterial small subunit ribosomal RNA
Source: RNAcentral